Molecule: ribosomal RNA, 465 nt
Filed under: uncultured bacterium
Lineage: Bacteria
Description: bacterial SSU rRNA
Rfam family: Bacterial small subunit ribosomal RNA
Source: RNAcentral
GGAGGAAAGUAGGGGAUCGCAAGACCUUGCGCUUUUUGAGCGGCCGAUGCCUGAUUAGCUAGUUGGUAAGGUAAUGGCUUACCAAGGCAACGAUCAGUAGCUGGUCUGAGAGGACGACCAGCCACACUGGGACUGAGACACGGCCCAGACUCCUACGGGAGGCAGCAGUGGGGAAUUUUGGACAAUGGGCGAAAGCCUGAUCCAGCCAUGCCGCGUGAGUGAAGAAGGCCUUCGGGUUGUAAAGCUCUUUCGGUCGGGAAGAAAUAGUUGUGGCUAAUAUCCACAAUGAAUGACGGUACCGACAUAAGAAGCACCGGCUAACUACGUGCCAGCAGCCGCGGUAAUACGUAGGGUGCAAGCGUUAAUCGGAAUUAUUGGGCGUAAAGGGUGCGCAGGCGGUUGUAUAAGUCAGAUGUGAAAUCCCUGGGCUUAACCUAGGAAUUGCGUUUGAAACUACAAGGCUAG